Molecule: transfer RNA, 69 nt
Filed under: Itapotihyla langsdorffii (ocellated treefrog)
Lineage: Eukaryota; Metazoa; Chordata; Amphibia; Anura; Hylidae
Description: tRNA-Val
Rfam family: tRNA
About the family: Transfer RNA (tRNA) molecules are approximately 80 nucleotides in length. Their secondary structure includes four short double-helical elements and three loops (D, anti-codon, and T loops). Further hydrogen bonds mediate the characteristic L-shaped molecular structure. tRNAs have two regions of fundamental functional importance: the anti-codon, which is responsible for specific mRNA codon recognition, and the 3' end, to which the tRNAs corresponding amino acid is attached (by aminoacyl-tRNA synthetases). tRNAs cope with the degeneracy of the genetic code in two manners: having more than one tRNA (with a specific anti-codon) for a particular amino acid; and 'wobble' base-pairing, i.e. permitting non-standard base-pairing at the 3rd anti-codon position.
Source: RNAcentral
CAAAAUAUAGCUUAACUAAAGCAUCUCGCUUACACCGAGAAAAUAUCUGUGAAACCCAGAUUAUUUUGA